GACGAACGCUGGCGGCGUGCUUAACACAUGCAAGUCGAACGCUGAAGCUCAGCUUUUGUUGGGUGGAUGAGUGGCGAACGGGUGAGUAACACGUGAGUAACCUGCCCCCUUCUUUGGGAUAACGCCCGGAAACGGGUGCUAAUACUGGAUAUUCACUGGUCUUCGCAUGGGGGCUGGUGGAAAGGGUUUUUCUGGUGGGGGAUGGGCUCGCGGCCUAUCAGCUUGUUGGUGGGGUGAUGGCCUACCAAGGCUUUGACGGGUAGCCGGCCUGAGAGGGUGACCGGUAACAUUGGGACUGAGAUACGGCCCAGACUUCUACGGGAGGCAGCAGUGGGGAAUAUUGCACAAUGGGCGCAAGCCUGAUGCAGCGACGCCGCGUGAGGGAUGGAGGCCUUCGGGUUGUGAACCUCUUUCGCUCAUGGUCAAGCCGCAACAAUGGUUGUGGUGAGGGUAGUGGGUAAAGAAGCGCCGGCUAACUACGUG
RNAcentral lists this ribosomal RNA (483 nucleotides) under uncultured bacterium. RNAcentral's name for it is "partial 16S ribosomal RNA". It matches the Rfam family "Bacterial small subunit ribosomal RNA", at positions 28 to 507 of the family's 1533-position model. The record is from RNAcentral.